GAUGAACGCUAGCGGCAGGCUUAAUACAUGCAAGUCGAGGGACAGCACAGGUAGCAAUACUGGGUGGUAACCGGCAAACGGGUGCGGAACACGUACACAACCUUCCUUUAAGUGGGGGAUAGCCCAGAGAAAUUUGGAUUAAUACCCCGUAAUAUAGUUGAAUGGCAUCAUUUGAUUAUUAUAGCUACGGCGCUUAAUGAUGGGUGUGCGGCUGAUUAGAUAGUUGGCGGGGUAACGGCCCACCGAGUCUACGAUCAGUAGCUGAUGUGAGAGCAUGAUCAGCCACACGGGCACUGAGACACGGGCCCGACUCCUACGGGAGGCAGCAGUAAGGAAUAUUGGUCAAUGGACGCAAGUCUGAACCAGCCAUGCCGCGUGAAGGAUUAAGGUCCUCUGGAUUGUAAACUUCUUUUAUUUGGGACGAAAAAGGGUCUUUCUAGGUCAACUGACGGUACCAGAUGAAUAAGCACCGGCUAACUCCGUGCCAGCCGCCGCAGUAA
RNAcentral lists this ribosomal RNA (500 nucleotides) under uncultured bacterium. Its description in RNAcentral is "partial 16S ribosomal RNA". It matches the Rfam family "Bacterial small subunit ribosomal RNA", at positions 28 to 523 of the family's 1533-position model. The record is from RNAcentral.